RNAcentral lists this ribosomal RNA (1000 nucleotides) under uncultured organism. RNAcentral describes it as "bacterial SSU rRNA". It matches the Rfam family "Bacterial small subunit ribosomal RNA", at positions 356 to 1376 of the family's 1533-position model. The record is from RNAcentral.
GGGGAAUAUUGCACAAUGGGGGCAACCCUGACGCAGCAACGCCGCGUGAAGGAUGAAGGUUUUCGGAUUGUAAACUUCUUUUAUUAAGGACGAAAAAUGACGGUACUUAAUGAAUAAGCUCCGGCUAACUACGUGCCAGCAGCCGCGGUAAUACGUAGGGAGCAAGCGUUGUCCGGAUUUACUGGGUGUAAAGGGUGCGUAGGCGGCUUUGCAAGUCAGAUGUGAAAUCUAUGGGCUCAACCCAUAAACUGCAUUUGAAACUGUAGAGCUUGAGUGAAGUAGAGGCAGGCGGAAUUCCCCGUGUAGCGGUGAAAUGCGUAGAGAUGGGGAGGAACACCAGUGGCGAAGGCGGCCUGCUGGGCUUUAACUGACGCUGAGGCACGAAAGCGUGGGUAGCAAACAGGAUUAGAUACCCUGGUAGUCCACGCUGUAAACGAUGAUUACUAGGUGUGGGGGGUCUGACCCCUUCCGUGCCGGAGUUAACACAAUAAGUAAUCCACCUGGGGAGUACGGCCGCAAGGUUGAAACUCAAAGGAAUUGACGGGGGCCCGCACAAGCAGUGGAGUAUGUGGUUUAAUUCGAAGCAACGCGAAGAACCUUACCAGGUCUUGACAUCCAACUAACGAAGUAGAGAUACAUUAGGUGCCCUUCGGGGAAAGUUGAGACAGGUGGUGCAUGGUUGUCGUCAGCUCGUGUCGUGAGAUGUUGGGUUAAGUCCCGCAACGAGCGCAACCCUUGCUAUUAGUUGCUACGCAAGAGCACUCUAAUAGGACUGCCGUUGACAAAACGGAGGAAGGUGGGGACGACGUCAAAUCAUCAUGCCCCUUAUGACCUGGGCUACACACGUACUACAAUGGAUGUUAACAGAGGGAAGCAAGACAGCGAUGUGGAGCAAACCCCUAAAAACAUUCUCAGUUCAGAUUGCAGGCUGCAACCCGCCUGCAUGAAGAUGGAAUUGCUAGUAAUCGCGGAUCAGCAUGCCGCGGUGAAUACGUUCCCG